CUUAUCAUUUACAUUUAUUUAUUCCUCUCUACCUGAAACUGAGAGAAGGCGGUCAUGGAGAUCGUCAGAGGAAAUUAGAGAAAUCAAAGGGGUUUUGAGUUAAGCAGUUAAUGAAGUUGAUAGUUCAAUCGAUUCAGAAAAUGGUGAUGUUCUCUUAAGAAGAAAUUAAGGAAGAACUGCAGUCAUUAAAAGAAGAAAUUGAAGAGAUUGAGAGGGGUUUUGGUUCUGUUGGUGUUUCCAUUUAUAAGCUGGGCAGGAAAUGGAGUUCGAGUUCGAUUCAGAAGGGGAAUUUAGGGUUUCUACAAUCAAAGAGAGAAAUCCAGGAAGAAAAGAUUAAAGUGAAGAUGGGUUUUGGUCCGAGUUUGAAUCCAUGGAAUUAAGAGUUCGAUGGUGAUACAGUAGUGGAGUUGGUGCUGCUGCUGAAGUACCAGAUGAAGAACUGCCGUUUAAUUGGAGUUUGGUGUUGUCGAAUUGAGCUGAGAUUGAGAAGUAGAAGAUGUUGUUCUGGCCAGUUGCUUAUGGGUUAGCUGAGAAUUAGAAGAUGGUAGUACUAGUGCCACUGAAUCUUGAUGCCGAUGGAAGAACUGGUGGGAAUUAUGGUCAAAAACAAUAUGAUUUUGGUGACUUGUGCUGAUUCAAGGGGUUAUGAGCUGCAAUUGGAGAUGAAUCUGGUGGUGCAAUUGGCUAGGAUGGAAUAGCGUUGCUUCAAGGAUUAAUGGGUUGUAUGAGUUAAUGAUUACAGGAGCAAGGAGGAACUAAGAUGGUGUUGUUGCCAUUGAGUUCAGUUGGACAGAAUUUGAGACAAGGAAUUGUUGGUGACUGUAUGGGUUGUGCAGCUUGAGUGUGAAGUUGCAGUUGUAGGUGAAAUAGAUAGUGAAGCUGUUGUUGUGUCACAAUGAAUAGAUUCGCAGUGAAGGGUUGGCUUUGUUGCAGUUCAAGCUGGUUCGAGUUGACUUGGUGAUGCCUGGAUUUGUGAUGUAUGGGUAUAAACUGAUGGCAUAUGGGUAUAUUGAUGCCAUGUUUAGAACAGUGGGUUCUUGGAAGGCCUAAAGCUGAGAUUGCAGAGAUUAUCUGUGGUGGUAAUGGAAAUGCAGGUGGCUUCAUAACUCUUUGCAGAAAUGCACUGGUGGUGUUGUUGCUGUGUAGAUGGAAUGAUGAUGAUUUAGAGCAGAAUGGGGCUGCUGUGAGAGCUUGAGUUGAGCAAGAGUUACAGAUAGAGCUACAUGUGCAGUUGCAGGUGCUUAACAAAUGAUUGUCAUGAUGCUGAAAUGAGAAGUGGAACUGUUGGAGAUGGCAGUGCAAUUACAGAUGAUGCAGGAGGAAUCGCAGGUCAUGGGUGCAGCUGCAAUGGAGGAACUCAAUGAGAAAUUAGGGAUGUAGAUGGAUUUGCUGGUGUUUACAGGCAAGAUUUGGUGGAUGCUACUGCUCGUGAGGAAACUGAUGGCUAGAGUUGAAUGGAGAUAGUAUGGCUGUGACAGAGUUGGUGGUGCUGCUUCAAGGAACUGACAUGGGUAGUUGUUAGUUAAUGGCUGAGAAGAUGCAAGUUAUGGUGAAUGUGCAGCUGGUUAUGAGGUUGAAGUGAUGCAGUCGAUGGAGUUUGAAGUUGAGAGGAAUGGCUCAAGUUCAGGGGUUGUGUUGAUUGAAUUUGAGUAUGCAGAAAUGAGUUGUUGCUGCCAUGGGGGAAUCUAUGUGGAGCUAUGGGCAGAGAUUUCAAGUUUUGGAGAUGCAGCUUUUGCAACUGUUAGUUGUGGUACUGAUGUGGAUUGAUGAAGCUGAAAGUGCAGGGAUGUUGAGUGUGAUUGUGUUGCUGGUCUUGUGACUGAAUCAGUGUUGCAGCUGUGCAGUGUUGAUAUCGUGAAGGUUACAUGGAUUAGAUGAAUGCAUUAGGUUUACAGGGAAGCUACAAUGGAGCUUGCAGUUCAGUUGGAGAUGUUAAUGGUGCUGGUAAAGAUACACAAAAGUAUGGAGCUGUGAACUGAUGCCGCAGAUGAGAAUAGUGGGUGUGUGUGUCGAAUCAACAACAAACUGAGUACAAUGUGAACGACGAAUCUGGUGGCUUGCUGCCAUUGUCAAGUAGAUAUGGGAUUGCAGUUGAGUUGCUACGACAGCUUGGUGGUGAAGCAGUGGCGAUAUUGAACUCAUGGAGGAGGUGCAGAUAGGUUUGUUGAGCCGCAGUUGCAGUUCAAGCUGCUGGAAUAAUUGUGUUGCUGUAAUGAAUUGCGGAGUUGGUUGUGCAGCUGUAAUGGGUACAGAAGUAGCAGGUUUGUGAAGUGGUUUUGAUGGCAGGUGAAUGAGUUGAAGCACCAGCUGAGACAGGAAAAGAUGCAGAUUUGGAGUUGGUUGUGGAACUGGAGCUUAAAUGGAAGAAUGAGCUGGUAGGAUGCAGUGAUGCUGAAUGAAUAAGGAACCACGGAUGGAAGAGUGUUGUUGCUGCCAUAAUGGAGAGGAUACAACUGAGUAUGGAGCUGAGAUGCUGCCAGUGAUAGCUGUUGCUGCUUAUAAUGGGUUAUUGAAAUAUGCUGCUGUGGCUAGAUGGAUAAUUUCAGAGUUGCAUCUAAUGGGUUUAGGUUGAACUAGAACUGAUAGCAAAUAGUUGUGGCAGAGUCGCAAAGGAGUUGAAGCUGUUGCUCAUUACAGGACAGAGAAAAUGGAUCUGGUGGAUGUUUACAAAGGGUUUUGGGAAGCAGCAAAUGAAUUUAAGCAGGUGUUUAGUAGUGGGGUUAGCUAUUUGCAAUUUCAUGUGCAAGCAGAGAAUGAAUGAAGGGUAUGAACGUGUAUUGGUUCAUGACUGAGAUGGAUUCGAAUGGUCCGGGAAAGGAGAUGGAGUACAUCAAGUUGCAGCUGCAGCUGAAGCCGAAAUAAUGACGUUGGUGUCUGAAGCUGACGGAGUUAAUGAACUGAAUUGUGUUGUGGUGGAGCUCGCUGCAAGGAAUCCGAUGGCUGAGUUAGAAGAUAAUGAAGAUGCUGAUGCUGUGAACAUGGUACUGCAGAUGUUUGUGUUGUUGCAGGAGUGGACGAUGAAGCUGCAGAUGGUCUACCUUGAAUGGGUUUUUUUUAUGGCAGAACGAGUUCUCUGAAUAGAAAGGCAGUGCAGGGAAGACUCGCCUUUGAUUAAUUAAGAAGGCUGUAUGAUUAAUUAAAUGUUGUGUGUGUUGAGUGAUUGCAAGAACUGCAGGGAAGAAGAAUUAUGGGUUACAGUUAGCUGGUGGUGCUAGAGCUGGAUGCCUCGUCAGUUCCACAAGAUUGACAAGCUUAGUAAAUUCUACAUGGGCCUGUAUUGACUGGGUUAUGGCUGCUAGUGGGCUGGAACGUGAGUUAGUAAAUUGGAGGUGGUCGAGAUCUUUUGGAAAACCAAUUCACACAACUGGGAGGCCAUAUAACUUCUCUUUUGGAAUCUCUAAUAAAAAAUCAUCUUCGUCUCUACUUUUGUGUUCUAGGGUUUAGAAACAUGAUAGGUUUUCUUUUCUUUCUUGUUAUGAACUCCAUUCACAUGUUUAGAUAAUUUUAUCUUGGUUAAGGAAUAGGUUGGAAUUCCAACCAUGGUUUUUAUGCAAUGAAUUAGUUUUGUCUC
Long non-coding RNA from Papaver somniferum (opium poppy), 3571 nucleotides. RefSeq lists it as uncharacterized. The record is from RefSeq and is a predicted model, not a curated record. NCBI's taxonomy places the organism in Eukaryota, Viridiplantae, Streptophyta, Magnoliopsida, Ranunculales, Papaveraceae. The transcript is spliced from 2 exons.